This 301-nucleotide ribosomal RNA is filed under the name uncultured bacterium. RNAcentral's name for it is "partial 16S ribosomal RNA". It matches the Rfam family "Bacterial small subunit ribosomal RNA", at positions 509 to 809 of the family's 1533-position model. The record is from RNAcentral.
CAGCCGCCGCGGUAAUACAGAGGAUGCAAGCGUUAUCCGGAAUGAUUGGGCGUAAAGGGCGCGUAGGCGGACAGUUCAGUCGGGGGUGAAAGCCCGGGGCUCAACCUCGGAAUUGCCUUCGAUACUGGCUGUCUUGAGUACGAGAGAGGUGUGUGGAACUCCGAGUGUAGAGGUGAAAUUCGUAGAUAUUCGGAAGAACACCAGUGGCGAAGGCGACACACUGGCUCAUUACUGACGCUGAGGCGCGAAAGCGUGGGGAGCAAACAGGAUUAGAUACCCCCGUAGUCCCUGUCUCUUAUAA